GAGGGUAGAGCUCAAUGGUGGAGCGCGUACCCAGCAUGCAUGAGGUCCUGGGUUCAAUCCCCAGUCCCUCCA
This 72-nucleotide transfer RNA is filed under the name Camelus bactrianus (Bactrian camel). It matches the Rfam family "tRNA". From Rfam's summary of the family: Transfer RNA (tRNA) molecules are approximately 80 nucleotides in length. Their secondary structure includes four short double-helical elements and three loops (D, anti-codon, and T loops). RNAcentral also lists the same sequence under 1 other name. The record is from Rfam by way of RNAcentral. Lineage: Eukaryota; Metazoa; Chordata; Mammalia; Artiodactyla; Camelidae.